This 499-nucleotide ribosomal RNA is filed under the name uncultured bacterium. RNAcentral describes it as "bacterial SSU rRNA". It matches the Rfam family "Bacterial small subunit ribosomal RNA", at positions 903 to 1397 of the family's 1533-position model. The record is from RNAcentral.
AAAUGAAUUGACGGGGGUCCGCACAAGCGGUGGAACAUGUGGUUUAAUUCGAUAUUACGCGAGGAACCUUACCUGGGCUUGACAUGUUUUUGACAGCUGUGGAAACACAGUCUUCCGAGCUUGCUCGGACAGAAUCACAGGUGCUGCAUGGUUGUCGUCAGCUCGUGUCGUGAGAUGUUUGGUUAAGUCCUCUAACGAGCGCAACUCUUGUCGUCAGUUGCUAUCACUUUUAGUGAGCACUCUGGCGAGACUGCCCGGGAAACCGGGAGGAAGGUGGGAAUGACGUCAAAUCAUCAUGGUCCUUAUGCCCAGGGCUACACACGUGUUACAAUGGCCAGUACAGAGGGUUGCUAUCCCGCGAGGGUGUGCUAAUCUCAUAAAGCUGGUCUAAGUUCGGAUUGGGGUCUGCAACUCGACCCCAUGAAGUUGAAAUCGCUAGUAAUCGCGCAUCAGAUACGGCGCGGUGAAUACGUUCUCGGACCUUGUACACACCGCCCGU